GGAUGAAUAUUGGUCAAUGGUGGGAACACUGAACCAGCCAUGCCGCGUGAAGGACUAAGGCGCUCUGCGUUGUAAACUUCUUUUGAUAGGGAAGAAAAAGGGCAUUUAUGCUAAACUGACGGUACCUAUCGAAUAAGCACCGGCUAACUCCGUGCCAGCAGCCGCGGUAAUACGGAGGGUGCAAGCGUUAUCCGGAAUCACUGGGUUUAAAGGGUACGUAGGCUGAGAGAUAAGUCAGUCGUGAAAUCGG
This 250-nucleotide ribosomal RNA is filed under the name uncultured bacterium. RNAcentral's name for it is "partial 16S ribosomal RNA". It matches the Rfam family "Bacterial small subunit ribosomal RNA", at positions 355 to 603 of the family's 1533-position model. The record is from RNAcentral.